RNAcentral lists this ribosomal RNA (423 nucleotides) under uncultured bacterium. RNAcentral's name for it is "bacterial SSU rRNA". It matches the Rfam family "Bacterial small subunit ribosomal RNA", at positions 355 to 775 of the family's 1533-position model. The record is from RNAcentral.
CGAGGAAUAUUGGUCAAUGGGCGCAAGCCUGAACCAGACAUCCCGCGUGCAGGAAGACGGCCCUAUGGGUUGUAAACUGCUUUUCCAGGGGGAGAAUUUUUCUGUCGUGACAGGAAUUGACGGUACCCUGGGAAUAAGCAUCGGCUAACUCCGUGCCAGCAGCCGCGGUAAUACGGAGGAUGCGAGCGUUAUCCGGAUUUAUUGGGUUUAAAGGGUGCGUAGGCGGAUUGAUAAGUCAGUGGUGAAAACCUGCAGCUUAACUGUAGACUUGCCGUUGAUACUGUCAGUCUUGAGUGUGGUCAAGGUAGGCGGAAUGUGUAAUGUAGCGGUGAAAUGCUUAGAUAUUACACAGAACACCGAUUGCGAAGGCAGCUUACUGGGCCAUUACUGACGCUGAGGCACGAAAGCGUGGGGAUCGAACAG